Molecule: ribosomal RNA, 83 nt
Filed under: Neobacillus bataviensis
Lineage: Bacteria; Bacillati; Bacillota; Bacilli; Caryophanales; Bacillaceae
Description: Bacillus bataviensis partial 16S ribosomal RNA
Rfam family: Bacterial small subunit ribosomal RNA
Source: RNAcentral
CUUUCAUGGAGAGUUUGAUCCUGGCUCAGGACGAACGCUGGCGGCGUGCCUAAUACAUGCAAGUCGAGCGAAUCUUUCGGAAC